This 303-nucleotide ribosomal RNA is filed under the name Triticum aestivum (bread wheat). Its description in RNAcentral is "partial small subunit ribosomal RNA". Lineage: Eukaryota; Viridiplantae; Streptophyta; Magnoliopsida; Poales; Poaceae. The record is from RNAcentral.
AUGAACGUAUGGUUUGGUUUAAGCGCAGAUGGCGUUGAUCCUUUUGGGGAGCUGAGCAGCAAUCAUUGCACAUAUCCCAUGACUCUAUGUAUCUAUAACCUUCCUCCUUGGUUGUGCAUGAAGUGGAAGUUCAUUAUGAUGUCAGUGCUCAUCCAAGGCCCUAAGCAACCCAACAACGACAUUGAUGUGUACCUAAGGCGAUUAGUUGAAGAACUUUUACAGUUGUGGAAUCGAAAAGUGAAGGCAAUAUGCCCUAAAGGCAAUAAUAAAGUUAUUAUUUUAUAUUUCUUUAUAUCAUUGUAA